AGAUUGAACGCUAGCGGGAUGCUUUACACAUGCAAGUCGAACGGCAGCGCAGACUUCGGUCUGGCGGCGAGUGGCGAACGGGUGAGUAAUAUAUCGGAACGUGCCCAGUAGCGGGGGAUAACUACGCGAAAGCGUGGCUAAUACCGCAUACGCCCUACGGGGGAAAGGGGGGAUCGCAAGACCUCUCACUAUUGGAGCGGCCGAUAUCAGAUUAGCUAGUUGGUGAGGUAAAGGCUCACCAAGGCGACGAUCUGUAGCUGGUUUGAGAGGACGACCAGCCACACUGGGACUGAGACACGGCCCAGACUCCUACGGGAGCAGCAGUGGGAAUUUGGACAAUAGGGGGAAACCUGAUCCAGCC
Molecule: ribosomal RNA, 361 nt
Filed under: uncultured soil bacterium
Lineage: Bacteria
Description: bacterial SSU rRNA
Rfam family: Bacterial small subunit ribosomal RNA
Source: RNAcentral